GACGAACGCUGGCGGCGUGCUUAACACAUGCAAGUCGAACGGAAAGGCCCUGCUUUUGUGGGGUGCUCGAGUGGCGAACGGGUGAGUAACACGUGAGUAACCUGCCCUUGACUUUGGGAUAACUUCAGGAAACUGGGGCUAAUACCGGAUAGGAGCUCCUGCUGCAUGGUGGGGGUUGGAAAGUUUCGGCGGUUGGGGAUGGACUCGCGGCUUAUCAGCUUGUUGGUGGGGUAGUGGCUUACCAAGGCUUUGACGGGUAGCCGGCCUGAGAGGGUGACCGGCCACAUUGGGACUGAGAUACGGCCCAGACUCAUACGGGAGGCAGCAGUGGGGAAUAUUGCGCAAUGGGCGGAAGCCUGAUGCAGCAACGCCGGGUGCGGGAUGACGGCCUUCGGGUGGUAAACCGCUUUCGCCUGUGACGAAGCGUGAGUGACGGUAAUGGGUAAAGAAGCACCGGCUAACUACGU
This 467-nucleotide ribosomal RNA is filed under the name uncultured bacterium. RNAcentral's name for it is "partial 16S ribosomal RNA". It matches the Rfam family "Bacterial small subunit ribosomal RNA", at positions 28 to 506 of the family's 1533-position model. The record is from RNAcentral.